Molecule: long non-coding RNA, 1461 nt
Filed under: Homo sapiens (human)
Lineage: Eukaryota; Metazoa; Chordata; Mammalia; Primates; Hominidae
Description: HSALNT0305795
Source: RNAcentral
GUGAAGGAAGCGACCUCUUUGUGACGUCUGCGACCUCUUUGUGACGUCGGCCCUUGCCGGUGCCCCGCACAGCAGCCAGCAGCUCCCAGCCCAGGCAGGAGGUGCACUGGCCUCCCGGCGGCCUUUUGAGGCCUAAGAGCUCCAAGCCCUGCCCUUCGUGCCCUCUGCACUAGACGCGUGGCCACAGCCGACAGUGGAUACCUCAUGGCGACUCAGAGUCCUCUCUUUAACCUCUCAGCUACCUUCUUCUCAUGACGUUUUCUCGGGUCUCACUCUGUCACCCUGGCUGGAAGGCAGUGGUGUGAUCAUAGCUCACUGCAGCCUUGGCCUCCUGGGCUCAAGCAAUGCCUCUGCUUCAACCUCCCAAGUAGCUGGAAUUACAGGAUUUCUACUUAUAAGCCAGACAAACACACUACAAGAAAACUACAGAUCAAUAUCCCUUGUGAAUAUAGAUGCAAAAAUCUCUAACAAAAUACUACCAGACAAAACUCAGCAUAUUAAAAGGAUUGAUUACGUAACAGGACCAAGUAGGAUUUAUUCCUGGAAUGGAAAGAUAGUUCAACAAUAAAAAUUAAUGAAGAAAAAAACUACAUGAUUAUCUCAGUUGAUGCAGAAAAAGCAUAUGAAAAACAUUAAUAUCUUUUAAUGGAACACAUACUCAAUAUAGGAGAAACAGAAAGAAACUUCCUCAAAAUGAUAGGGCCAUGACAAAAACCCACAGCUUGUAUCAUAGGACAUGAUGAAAGAUUGAAAACUUUUUCCCCUUAAGUGAGGAAUAAGACAAAGGUGCCUGCUUUUGCCACUUUUAUUUAGAAUCAUUCUAGAAGUUCUAGCCAGACCAGUGAGGCAAGAAUAAUAAAUACAAUAAUCCAAGGUGAAAAAAGAUGGCAUGAACUCUAUUAUUUCUUAUGACUGCAUGUGAAUUUAUAAUUAUUUCAAAAUAAAAAAUUAUUUUUUAAAAAAGGUCUAUGGGCCAUGUGAGCCUCCAGUAAAAACAAAAACAGGCUUUUCUGUUAAAAAUAAAAUUAAUUGGCAGGGCACGGUGGCUCACACCUGUAAUCCCAGCGCUUUGGGAGGCCGAGGUGGGCGAAUCACAAGGUCAGGAGUUUGAAACCAGCCUGACCAACAUGGUGAAACCCCAUGUCUACUAAAAAUACAAAAAUUAUGGGCGUGGUGGCACACACCUGUAAUCCAAGAUACUUAGUAGGCUGAGGCAGGAGAAUCGCUUGAACCCAGGAGGCAGAGUUUGCAAUGAGCCAAGAUCGAGAUCGUGCCAUUGCACUCCAUCCUGGGUGACAGAGUGAGACUCUGUCUCAAAAAAUAAAAAUAAAAAAUAAAAUUAAAUUAAUCACACCUGUAAUCCCAGCACUUUGGGAGGCCAAGGCGGGCAGAUCGCCUGAGCUCAGGAGUUCGAGACCAGCCUGGGCAACAUGGUGAAACCCCAUCUCUACUAAUUACAAA